This 66-nucleotide small nucleolar RNA is filed under the name Pomacea canaliculata. The record is from RNAcentral. Lineage: Eukaryota; Metazoa; Mollusca; Gastropoda; Architaenioglossa; Ampullariidae.
GUGCCUGGUGAUGAAAUCUACCGCCCCAGUCUGAAUACUGUGACUGAUUGGUUUCUCUGAAGGCUU